UUCAGGAUGAGUCACAGGUAGGAGGAAAGUCCUGGGGUCACGCUGACAGUCGCGUCCCUGACGAAGGGUUCCGUCCGCUCGCCGUCGCUGCGGGUUUCUGCGUACUCGGAGGCUUUUCUCCUUUUUACCCUGAACUCCUGUUUCCUGAGUUUAUGUUUCUGGUGAAAUGCUGGGACGUGGUAGGCAGCUGGUAAAGGGUGGUGUGGCCCAGGGACAUCCUGCAGCUCGUCAGUGCUCCUGACUGCCGUGGGGACAUCUUGCCCAUGCUGCGUGACAGGGACCACCGGGGACGCUGAGAACAGGCAGCCUGGUUCGCGUGGCCGUGUGAGCGGUGACGUUCGCGGAGGAGGAUCUAUGGCGUCUGCCCGCGGCUGCCUGUGGGGACUUCUCCCACCUGGAGUCCUCCUCCACCGUCGCUGUCAGGGCCCCUGUCUUUGGGAACCGGAUGCCCUUUCACCCACAGCCGUGCAGGUCCAGCUCGUUGACCGCAGGGGUGACUGCCGUGUGCCCGCUCUCUGCUCCGAGGGACAAGCCGCUCCAGCCUCACCCCCGCACCUCUGCUCAGUCUCACUUCCUUAGCAGCAGCGUCGGCGCCCAGGGCGUCCCCUGCAAGGUUUUGGCAGACCCUACAUUGCCGUGGGAACUUGCAGGUGCCCUGGGGGGAGGGGCAUUCUGCCACCAAGCCUCCAUCUCAGAAGCUUCAGCAAAAAUGAUAUUUUUUUUGUAGUUUAAGAACGCGCUGCUGUACGUAGCCUGAAACCACGCACUUGUUGCUAGUUUGUAGGGAAAGCCGAGGCCAGCAGUGAGCAGCGCCUGUGGCUGCAGGUCCCGGAAAACCUGAGCUGGCUCAGAAGGGCCCAGUGCCCGGUGCCUGCUGUGAGUGACCAGACGGGCAACGAGAAGGCCAGAGUGAGCGUUUGGUGUCGCUGGUUCAGGUGUCACUUGUGAUACCCGCAUCUCAUUUUGGAGCGCUUGGGUCCGAGUCCCUAACUCGCUCUCCACUCUGGCUGCCUGCUAACGGGAGGCAGCAGGGGGCGGCUUAAGAAGCUGGGCUCCUGCCGUCUAUGUGGAGACCUAGGGUGGGUUCUCUGCCCCUGACUUCAGCCUGGCCUAGCUCUAGCCAUUGUGGGCACCUAGGGAAUAACCUGUGAAAGGCAUGUCUGUUUCUUUGUCUUUAAAUAAAAAAAAGUCUAAAGGCAAAAGAGCAAGUUCUUAUGGCCCUGUGACUUUUUGCUGGCUGUUGGGCAUCAGCAGCAAUCAUUGUAGUUUCCCUUUAGCGUGGCUGUCGUGUAAUCUGGAAAAGCGAACUUUAAAUCAAAGGUGACCGCUUGAUCUCCGCGUGCACGGACUCUGUAUGCUUUACAUGGAAGCCAGAGGCAAGCCAGCAGGUGUGUGUUGAGGGAUCCGUGUGUGGGACCCCAGGGACCCUGGGGACACAGCGGCGAGCCGCGGCCCAGCCCUGGGGGACAGGGGCCCUCCGGGAAGCGACAUUUCUCAGCGGUCAGCUCUGUGACAUCAUCACCCCUGUGACAUGUCUAACAAAACCGUGUGCAAUCGACUCUCUUCUCAGCUGUGGAACCUUGUGUCACAAAGAGAACCGCCGGGCGCAGAGCUUGUGAAAGGAGAAGGCCCUGACCGUUUAACAGUCAGGGUCAGGAGCAGGGAGCCAGGAUAAAGCCGUGCUCCACGGUCGGAAGAUUGCGGAGGGAGCCGGGCGGCCCUCACUGGACCCCUCCCCAGCCUCGACGAGAGGUUCGACCCCGGUGACACCAGUACCCUGGAGGAACUGCCCAGUGUCCCAGUGCUGUGGCAGGAGCUGCCCCAGGUGGGAUUGCUGUCUGACAACACAUUAUGUAUAUUAUAGCACUUCACACCUCCCUACUCACAACAGCAACAACAAUAAUUGCAUUAAGCGUUUGCGCAGCUUGUGCUUAUGUCUUCCAAACAUUCAGUUGUUUCCGUUGAAACUCACAGCAGUGACGUCACAGCAGUGAAAGAGAGCCUCCUCUGAGCCGGUCCCCAUAGAGCACUUUAUCAACAAGGAUCUGUUCCAUCCUCCUGGCGACCCGGUGAGCCAGAGAUAUUCGCCCCCACUUUACGGAUGCGCAGAUGGAGACACGAGAGGUUAAUGAGUUGUCCAAGAUCACACAACUGCCGCCGUGGCAGAGAUUCCCUUGCUGUCUUUAUCCCAAGCUCCUGAUCAUCGCCGUGGCACUCUGAAGAAUCAGCUGGCAGAUCACUGGGCGCCUGGGAGAUCACGGAUCCCCUAGCAGGUCACGGGGCGCCUGGGAGAUCACGGAUCCCCUAGCAGGUCACGGGGCGCCUGGGAGAUCACGGAUCCCCUAGCAGGUCACGGGGCGCCUGGGAGAUCACGGAUCCCCUAGCAGGUCACGGGGCACCUGGGAGAUCACGGCCCAGGGUCGCUGGCUCAGUAGGAGACUGUAGGCACUGGGGCCGAACGGGGGCCAUGCAGGGGCUGUCAGGCAGCUUACCUGGUGGGCUCCAGGAUGUGUAGGGGUCCCCUGGUGGAAACCAGGGCUGUGCAGGGGGCCUCAGGCAGGCCCUGGUCCCCAAGGACUUGGCAAUGGGGAUUAGAGGUGGGGUUUUCCCCUCUGGCCUCAUGUUCUCCAGUAGCAGAAGAAGGAGCGUGAAGUGCCAUUGGGCAAUCCUGGGACUUUUGUUCUUUAAAACAUAUAGUUAAAGAUCGCUAUGAAUGUCCUUUGCUGUUUAAACCCUCUCCAUGGCCCACGAGUGGACUAUCACGUGGGUGGCAGUGAGUGGUGACGCAGGACUAUGGAGCAGGUGCAUAGGACUGUGGGGGCAGGUCUGCCUGUACAGCUGGGGCCGUCUUGUCUGCUGAGACCCCUCUGUGGGCACAGAUGUUGCCGACCUGCAUCUCCAGGGUGUGUGGCCAGCACCACUCUCGCUGCAUCAUUUAUGGACAGCUCUGGUUCCAGGGCACACGACGGCCUGCCUGUCUCCUAGCCAAAGCCUCAGCUGUCUGGAGCGUUUAUGACAACUGAAUCGCUACGAGCAAGCUGGCUUGUGAUAGCUCCUCUUGCUUACCUAACGCUCCCUUUGUUUAACGUCAGCGCCAGCUUGCUCGUUGCCUUGGAAGCUGUGGGCCCUGCUCAAGUGCAGACAGCAACACAUGAAUGUUCUCUGUCCCGGGGCCAUGACCAGGAGGCCACGGCUGCUUACCUGUGGGGGAGGUGGUGAGCACUUUGCACGAUUACUCCCUUCACGCCUCCAGUAACACUUGGAGGAGCACAGCGUCAGCUUUGUGUCCACAGACGGGGAAACCGAGGCAGCAUGCUGGCAAAAUGAGAAUGCUCAUGCACUUGGCACAUCUGGUUCUAGAGUAACCUCUGGUUCUGGAGUGACCUCUGAUUCUGGAGUGACCUCUGGUUCUGGAAUAACAUCUGGUUCUAGAGUAACAUCUGGUUCUAGAGUAAUCUCUGGUUCUGGAGUAACUUCUGGUUUUGGAGUAACCUCUGGUUCUGGAGUGACCUCUGGUUCUGGAGUAACCUCUGGUCCUGGAGUGACCUCUGGUCCUAGAGUAACCUCUGGUUCUGGAGUGACCUCUGGUUCUGGAGUAACCUCUGGUUCUGGUGUGACCUCUGGUUCUGGAGUGACCUCUGGUUCUGGAGUGACCUCUGGUUUUGGAGUGACCUCUGGUUCUGGAGUGACCUCUGGUUCUGGAGUGACCUCUGGUUCUAGAGUAACAUCUGGUUCUAGAGUAAUCUCUGGUUCUGGAGUAACUUCUGGUUUUGGAAUAACCUCUGGUCCUGGAGUGACCU
Oryctolagus cuniculus (rabbit) is the source of this 3800-nucleotide non-coding RNA. The record is from RefSeq and is a predicted model, not a curated record. Lineage: Eukaryota; Metazoa; Chordata; Mammalia; Lagomorpha; Leporidae.